This 458-nucleotide unclassified non-coding RNA is filed under the name uncultured Mortierella. RNAcentral's name for it is "sequence contains ITS2". The stretch from base 1 to 154 matches the Rfam family "5.8S ribosomal RNA". Lineage: Eukaryota; Fungi; Mortierellomycota; Mortierellomycetes; Mortierellales; Mortierellaceae. The record is from RNAcentral.
AACUUUUAGCAAUGGAUCUCUUGGCUCUCGCAUCGAUGAAGAACGCAGCGAAAUGCGAUACGUAAUGUGAAUUGCAGAAUGCAGUGAAUCAUCGAAUCUUUGAACGCACAUUGCACUCUCUGGUAUUCCGGAGAGUAUGCUUGUUUGAGUAUCUGUAAACAUCUCAAAUCUCUCGACUUUCGAGUCUGAGAGAAUUGGACUUCAGCAAUCCCAACUCCUUCGUCAGAAAGAGGAGGGUUGCUGCAAAUGCAGGUGCAGCUGGGACUUCUUCUGAGCUAACAGCAUAUUUAUUUAGUCCCGUCAAACGGAUUAUUGUUCUUGCUUCAGCUUACAUAGAGGUCGAAUGACUACCCAGGCUGAUUGCAGGUAAACUCGUUCAGUUAAAAAGAACUGGUGAACUCGCUCUCAAAUCAAGUAAGACUACCCGCUGAACUUAAGCAUAUCAAUAAGCGGAGGCU